UACGAAGGGGGCUAGCGUUGCUCGGAAUUACUGGGCGUAAAGGGCGCGUAGGCGGCACUGUUAGUCAGGCGUGAAAGUCCUGGGCUCAACCUGGGAACUGCGCUUGAUACGGCAGAGCUAGAGGAUGGAAGAGGCUCGCGGAAUUCCCAGUGUAGAGGUGAAAUUCGUAGAUAUUGGGAAGAACACCGGUGGCGAAGGCGGCUCACUGGCCCGGAACUGACGCUGAGGUGCGAAAGCGUGGGGAGCAAACAGG
RNAcentral lists this ribosomal RNA (253 nucleotides) under uncultured bacterium. RNAcentral's name for it is "partial 16S ribosomal RNA". It matches the Rfam family "Bacterial small subunit ribosomal RNA", at positions 524 to 776 of the family's 1533-position model. The record is from RNAcentral.